This 630-nucleotide long non-coding RNA is filed under the name Centruroides sculpturatus (bark scorpion). RNAcentral describes it as "uncharacterized LOC111631519, transcript variant X4". The record is from RNAcentral. Lineage: Eukaryota; Metazoa; Arthropoda; Arachnida; Scorpiones; Buthidae.
UAAAACUCGUGACGUAACGCGUGACGCAUUGCAACGACAAUUUCGAAUUCGUUCCAUUUCGUAUUGUUGCCGACGCCAUCUUGGAAAUUUAUGCUAUCCGGAAAUUGCGAGUUCUUUUUCCCUCCAUUUUAACAUUUUUCGUACAAAUUUUAAUAAUGAAAACUCGCGUAACAUUUAACUGAUUGUGAGCACUUAAAGCCAGGAGUUGUGUGACAUCAUUUAGGCUUCUGACAUACCAAUAGAGCAGCUAUGUGACAUGUAUGUAUGAAAAUUACUUUGUGGAUAAUCAACUCAAUGGUUAUCUGCUCCACACACCUUCCUUUAGAAAAUGUUGAUAUUGAACUUUGUCACUGCAAUCUUUUAACAAACAUUUCCAUUAUGACAAAGAGCAUGCAACAUUUUCUUCUAUAAAUGGUCAGUGAACUACUUUACUUUACUUUUAUAUUCCCGGGACCAUUUUAAUUUUAAAUUUUGUAAAAAUUGGCAUUCAGAGUUUGAUUUGUCUUGAUGUUCAUUUUGGAUUAAUUAGCCCUAUGUUAAUUAAGCACAAUAAAAUUAGGUUCAAAUUUUCUUUAUCAUAUAUAAUGUAAUAGAGAUAGCUGUAAAAGCAGAUUAUAAAUUAUGAAUUAU